CUUUAACAAAGUACGGAUUCCCCUCCGAGUUCCUGCUCAAAAUCUUAGCACUAUAUUCCAUCUCAACUGCUCGAGUAUUGCAAUUGGGUUUCCUCUCGAAUCAUUCCCUAUUACAAAUUGCACAAGACAAAGGUGUCCUCUCUCGCCACGAUAUAUGUUCUGGCCCUGGAACGUCCUUUAUGCACAAUUAGACAACACAUGGAAAUCCACGGAAUAGACCUAAACUGUUGCAAACUUAAAAUAAGCGCAUUCGCGGUUGAUAUUCUCCUAUAUUUCUCCCGACCUGAGGAAUCAUCGCAG
Molecule: non-coding RNA, 300 nt
Organism: Pelobates cultripes (western spadefoot toad)
Lineage: Eukaryota; Metazoa; Chordata; Amphibia; Anura; Pelobatidae
Source: the annotation of a GenBank genome assembly